UUAACUCAAAUUUGUAUGAAGUUGGAACGUUUGCCUACGUUUGCCACUAGGGGCGCUGUCCCAAAUGCAUACAAAUUUGAAUUA
Molecule: non-coding RNA, 84 nt
Organism: Bombyx mori (domestic silkworm)
Lineage: Eukaryota; Metazoa; Arthropoda; Insecta; Lepidoptera; Bombycidae
Source: Rfam